RNAcentral lists this ribosomal RNA (460 nucleotides) under uncultured bacterium. Its description in RNAcentral is "partial 16S ribosomal RNA". It matches the Rfam family "Bacterial small subunit ribosomal RNA", at positions 338 to 795 of the family's 1533-position model. The record is from RNAcentral.
CCUACGGGAGGCAGCAGUGAGGAAUAUUGGUCAAUGGGCGCGAGUCUGAACCAGCCAAGUAGCGUGAAGGAUGACUGCCCUACGGGUUGUAAACUUCUUUUAUAAAGGAAUAAAAUGAGGCACGUGUGCCUUUUUGUAUGUACUUUAUGAAUAAGGAUCGGCUAACUCCGUGCCAGCAGCCGCGGUAAUACGGAGGAUCCGAGCGUUAUCCGGAUUUAUUGGGUUUAAAAGGAGUGUAGAUGGGGUGUUUAGUCAGUUGUGAAAGUUUGCGGCUCAACCGUAAAAUUGCAAUUGAUACUGGCAGUCUUGAGUACAGUGGAGGUAGGCGGAAUUCGUGGUGGAGCGGUGAAAUGAUUAGAUAUCAAGAAGAACUCCGAUUGCGAAGGCAGCUUACUAAACUGCCACUGACAUUGAUGCUCGAAAGUGUGGGUAUCAAACAGGAUUAGAUACCCUAGUAGUC